AUGCCCAAGCGCACCAUGGGAGGGAGGGCUGACGCCGGGGCCGACGCCAUGGUGUCACCUACGCCGGAGCAGGUGGCUCCUCCGCCGGAGCAGGUGACUCCUCUGCCACGCCAUCUGCUUCCUCUGCCACGCCAUCUGCCUCCUCUGCCGCAGCCCUUGGUCAAUGUCGACGGCGACGACGAUGAAGAAGAGGUAGCUGCUCUGGCUCCUCAGACAGAGCAGGUGUCUCCUCUACCGCGGGUGACGCCUCCUGUGCCCAAGCCUGUGGUCGUCGGCGAUGUCAACAAAGAAGACCCUCAACCGGGUGUUCGUCUGCCGCGGUUGUUGCCUCCCCUGCCCCCACCUGUGGUCGUCACCGACGAGAACGAAGAAGAGGUUUUCUCUGGUCAGUACAAGGCAAAUAAGGUCCUAAGUGACGAUGUUGACAGCGACCCAGAAACACAGAGGAUCUUCAAGAGGCAGAAGGUGAGGCAGCUGGACAGUGGUGAGCUCGAGAAAGCUGUGAGGCCUAGAUUCGGAAAGGGCUACGGAUGCCCUUACUGCAACAAGGUGAUGAAAGGCGACCUGUCGAGUACCAUCAACCAUGCAGUCGGAACAUCCCAAGGCAACACCAAGAAUGGCUACGCUUUCAGGGUGAAGCACGUCGUGUAUGCCGAAUACUUGAUGAGGCUUCUUUGA
RNAcentral lists this ribosomal RNA (678 nucleotides) under Triticum aestivum (bread wheat). RNAcentral describes it as "partial small subunit ribosomal RNA". Lineage: Eukaryota; Viridiplantae; Streptophyta; Magnoliopsida; Poales; Poaceae. The record is from RNAcentral.